This is a non-coding RNA of Paramisgurnus dabryanus, 1877 nucleotides long. NCBI's taxonomy places the organism in Eukaryota, Metazoa, Chordata, Actinopteri, Cypriniformes, Cobitidae. The record is from RefSeq and is a predicted model, not a curated record.
GAGACGAGAGAAAUUAAUGAGAAGAAAAGACGUGAUUUUCGCGUUUCAUUGAGGAUUUAAAACGAGAAUCUUGCCUGCAAUCAGAAGUACUGCCCGCAUUUUUACCCCGAGGAGGUGACUCGUUAUUACUUCGGACUGUUUCAGCCACACCCACACAGUGAUUAAGACCUUCAGUGAAGCUCCUCCUACAACAAUCCACCAAUAAAUGCUGGAGUCAAACACACAGAGAAAUCACUCCAUGUGUGACAACUGAAAUCUUCAUGACAUAAUGUUGAUGCUGGUGAAAGAGGAGCUUGAGAAGAUGACAGAUCCACAACCAUGCAGAAUAAAGGAUGAAGAUACUGAGGAACAAAUAGGUUGCUGUGAAGCAUUGAUGUUGAGACGGAGUGAAAGCGUCUCUCUUGGAUAUUCUGAGGAGUGCUGAAAUGAAGAAGGAAGAGGAUUAGGAACAUCUGAAUAGUGAGUAAAUUGGAGUACAUGUCUUGUCACUUACCUGUGUAAACAAACGAGUAACAUUGUCUUGGAGUGUGUACAGUUGUUUAGCGGCCCCAUCGUGGAAAAACGGGUGGGCGAAGUAAAGCGAGGCAGCAGGGCGUUGUGGACGUUCACUCGCUCCCGGUGGAUCAUUGUCUGUGCAAGCAACCGAAUCCCCCCUGGGGCCUACCGCCGUUCGGGUGUGUAGUGUGGACCUUAUUAAAGUCACCAAAGUGUGUGAAGUGCAGUGGGGUGAGUUUACCUUUGACGUGUUUACACCCAAAGCUUUGCAGUGUUUUGCCGUGUCCUUUGUUGUCUGCACUCGCCCCUUCAGGCGGAGAGGAGCCCGGCAGGAGAAGACGUGGACUGCCGCAGGCGACGGCCAUUUAAUACCUAUCUGCCCGUCCGUAGCGCCGACCCCCAGCUGGAACCUAACGAAAGAACAGUGAAGACACCAGUAAAGGUACUGUGGGAAAGCUGUAUUGUUGGCAAGAGAAAUCAGUGGAACUGACUGUGGUGUGUAGUGCUGUAUUGUGAGGUGAGCCUAGCGGCCUCUGCUAUCACCCAGAUUUCUGCUUACUCCCAGAAAGGACGGAGGCGUCUGUGCCAUUUCGCCGCAUGUACCUGUGGUGUGUAGCCGCCUGGAUCCACCAACCUAGACCUCGCCGGCCAUCAGUGGCCCCACACAGCAGUUGGAAGUGGUAAAACCUCCUCCUUGCCCCAGAACAACGACGAGAGGUGACGUAUGGUUUCCAUACCUACCCGUUAGGAUCCACCUGUGAGCGUAGUGCUAUUUACCCCGCUUAAGUCCUGUAUGUCCCCGAAAGUGGAGAGAUAGAGAGCAAACCUAGAACACUUACCUGAGAGAACGAGCCCAGUAUUACUUACCCCGCUGAAGUCCGGUACGACUUUAAAGGUGGAGAAAUAGAGAACAAACCUAGAACGGUUACCUGAGAGAACAGCCCAGUACUAUUUACCCCUGCUUAAGCCCUGUACGCCCCGAACAUGGAAGGAAGAGAGGUAUCCUAGAGAACUUACCUGAGAGGUGAACACUGCUUACUUUGUGUAUUCCUUGUGUGUACAGCCACCAGCUACGGUAGCCGACGGCCCACCGGCCUGCUGUGUAUGACUGCCCGGCCCGAGUAGGACGGAAGAUCCUUCAGCGGCAAGUAGUCAAUGUCUACCCUCUUUAAAAUACUCAUUGUGUGUUUCACUCUGCCUUCAGGAGAAGGGCGCCACGGGGAACAAAAAUAAAGUAAAGACAUCAACAAGUGGGUGAAACCAAGGGACGAAGGAGCUCCGGCCCGCCCCUCGCCCUAUGUGGGUACUUACCCUCGACGUCUUGUUCUCUCGAGCCCAGGCCUCCUCCUGUGGACGAAAAGAAGAUUAUUUUAGCUUCCCUU